GACGAACGCUGGCGGCGUGCCUAAUACAUGCCAGUUGAGCGCUGAAGGUUGGUACUUGUACCAACUGGAUGAGCAGCGAACGGGUGAGUAACGCGUGGGGAAUCUGCCUUUGAGCGGGGGACAACAUUUGGAAACGAAUGCUAAUACCGCAUAAAAACUUUAAACACAAGUUUUAAGUUUGAAAGAUGCAAUUGCAUCACUCAAAGAUGAUCCCGCGUUGUAUUAGCUAGUUGGUGAGGUAAAGGCUCACCAAGGCGAUGAUACAUAGCCGACCUGAGAGGGUGAUCGGCCACAUUGGGACUGAGACACGGCCCAAACCCCUACGGGAGGCAGCAGUAGGGAAUCUUCGGCAAUGGACGAAAGUCUGACCGAGCAACGCCGCGUGAGUGAAGAAGGUUUUCGGAUCGUAAAACUCUGUUGGUAGAGAAGAACGUUGGUGAGAGUGGAAAGCUCAUCAAGUGACGGUAACUACCCAGAAAGGGACGGCUAACUACGUG
Molecule: ribosomal RNA, 497 nt
Filed under: uncultured bacterium
Lineage: Bacteria
Description: partial 16S ribosomal RNA
Rfam family: Bacterial small subunit ribosomal RNA
Source: RNAcentral